AUUGAACGCUGGCGGCACGCCUUACACAUGCAAGUCGAACGGUAACAGGUCUUCGGAUGCUGACGAGUGGCGAACGGGUGAGUAAUACAUCGGAACGUGCCCGAUCGUGGGGGAUAACGAGGCGAAAGCUUUGCUAAUACCGCAUACGAUCUACGGAUGAAAGCGGGGGAUCUUCGGACCUCGCGCGGACGGAGCGGCCGAUGGCAGAUUAGGUAGUUGGUGGGAUAAAAGCUUACCAAGCCGACGAUCUGUAGCUGGUCUGAGAGGAUGAUCAGCCACACUGGGACUGAGACACGGCCCAGACUCCUACGGGAGGCAGCAGUGGGGAAUUUUGGACAAUGGGCGAAAGCCUGAUCCAGCCAUGCCGCGUGCAGGAUGAAGGCCUUUGGGUUGUAAACUGCUUUUGUACGGAACGAAAAGCCUCUUUCUAAUAAAGAGGGGUCAUGACGGUACCGUAAGAAUAAGCACCGGCUAACUACGUG
This 482-nucleotide ribosomal RNA is filed under the name uncultured bacterium. RNAcentral describes it as "partial 16S ribosomal RNA". It matches the Rfam family "Bacterial small subunit ribosomal RNA", at positions 30 to 507 of the family's 1533-position model. The record is from RNAcentral.